This 220-nucleotide ribosomal RNA is filed under the name uncultured bacterium. Its description in RNAcentral is "partial 16S ribosomal RNA". It matches the Rfam family "Bacterial small subunit ribosomal RNA", at positions 524 to 742 of the family's 1533-position model. The record is from RNAcentral.
UACGAAGGGGGGCGAGCGUUGUUCGGAUUUACUGGGCGUAAAGGGCGCGCAGGCGGCUCAUUUUGUCAGGCGUGAAAGCCCCGGGCUUAACCUGGGAACUGCGUUUGAUACGGAUGGGCUAGAGUUCGGGAGAGGAGAGUGGAAUUCCCAGUGUAGAGGUGAAAUUCGUAGAUAUUGGGAAGAACACCGGUGGCGAAGGCGGCUCUCUGGACCGAUACUG